RNAcentral lists this unclassified non-coding RNA (627 nucleotides) under Hevea brasiliensis (rubber tree). Lineage: Eukaryota; Viridiplantae; Streptophyta; Magnoliopsida; Malpighiales; Euphorbiaceae. The record is from RNAcentral.
CAGAUCAGCUCUCAUGACAACAGCAACCAUUUCUAAUAACAUGGAAAAGCCAUUGACAAACACCUCAGGUUACCCGGCAAGUCCACAUGAAGCUGGUGUAGGAGAAAUCAGCCCAGCCAGAGCUCUUGAUCCAGGCCUAGUCUUCGAAACCACAGAAGAAGAUUACUUGAAUUUCCUUUGUUACUAUGGAUACUCAGAGACAAAAGUAAAGAAAAUGACAAAGACAAAAUUCAAAUGCCCGAAGGGAUCAAGCAAAGAGCUCAUUACAAGUAGCAUCAACCACCCAUCAAUCUCCAUAGGCAUGCUUGAUCAAAAGCACCCUGCCCAGAUCAUUAGAAGGAAGAUGACAAAUGUUGGGUCCACAAAUGCCUCGUAUUAUUCCAGAGUGUAUGCUUCCAGGGGAUUAACGGUGAAUGUUUCUCCGAAGAAAAUUAGUUUCAAUGAGAGUAAGAGAAAGGCUUGGUUUAGAGUGUUGUUUGAUGGUAGGAAAGCUCCCAAGGGUUAUCAUUUCGGAUAUGUAAUGUGGUCUGACGGCCAUCAUAGAGCUCGUAUCGUUUUUGCUGUUAAUGUUCACUAAAAUGCCGUUUAAGGAAAUGGAAAUAGAGGAAAUAAAUAUCAGAGUUUGGC